Molecule: ribosomal RNA, 449 nt
Filed under: uncultured bacterium
Lineage: Bacteria
Description: bacterial SSU rRNA
Rfam family: Bacterial small subunit ribosomal RNA
Source: RNAcentral
GAGCGGAUGACGGGAGCUUGCUCCUUCUAUUCAUCGGCAGACGGGUGAGUAAUGCCUAUGAAUCUGACUGUUACUGGGGGACGACGUUUCCAAAGGAACGCUGAUACCGCAUACGUCCUACGGGAGAAAACCGGGGACCUUCAGGCCUUGCGCUAUCACAUGAGCCUAUGUCCGAUUAGCUAUUUGGUGGGGUAAUGGCUCACCAACGCCACGAUCCGUAACUGGUCUGAGACGAUGAUCAUUCACACUGGAACUGAAACACAGUCCAGACUCCUACUGGAGGCAGCAGUGGGGAAUAUUGGACUAUGGGCGAAAGCCUGAUCCAGCCAUGCCGCGUGUGUGAAUAAGGUCUUCGGAUUGUAAAGCACUUUAACUUGGGAGGAAGGGCAGUAAGCUAAUACCUUGCUGUUUUGACGUUACCGACAGAAUAAGCACCGGCUAACUCUGUG